This 223-nucleotide unclassified non-coding RNA is filed under the name plant metagenome. RNAcentral describes it as "partial contains small subunit ribosomal RNA, internal transcribed spacer 1, and 5.8S ribosomal RNA". The record is from RNAcentral.
UCUCCGUUGGUGAACCAGCGGAGGGAUCAUUACCGAGUUUUCAACUCCCUAACCCUUCUGUGAACCUACCUAUCGUUGCUUCGGCGGACUCGCCCCAGCCCGGACGCGGACUGGACCAGCGGCCCGCCGGGGGCCUCAAACUCUCGUAUUCCAGCAUCUUCUGAAUACGCCGCAAGGCAAAACAAAUGAAUUAAAACUUUCAACAACGGAUCUCUUGGCUCUG